AUACGUAGGGUGCGAGCGUUAAUCGGAAUUACUGGGCGUAAAGCGUGCGCAGGCGGUUUUGUAAGUCAGAUGUGAAAUCCCCGGGCUUAACCUGGGAACUGCGUUUGAAACUGCAAGGCUAGAGUGUGGCAGAGGGGGGUGGAAUUCCGCGUGUAGCAGUGAAAUGCGUAGAGAUGUGGAGGAACACCGAUGGCGAAGGCAGCCCCCUGGGUCAACACUGACGCUCAGGCACGAAAGCAUGGGGAGCAAACAGGAUUAGAUACCCCAGUAGUCC
Molecule: ribosomal RNA, 274 nt
Filed under: uncultured bacterium
Lineage: Bacteria
Description: partial 16S ribosomal RNA
Rfam family: Bacterial small subunit ribosomal RNA
Source: RNAcentral